This 309-nucleotide small nuclear RNA is filed under the name Castor canadensis (American beaver). RNAcentral's name for it is "7SK RNA (ENSCCNG00000028266.1)". The stretch from base 1 to 273 matches the Rfam family "7SK RNA". From Rfam's summary of the family: 7SK was discovered as an abundant small nuclear RNA in the mid-70s but a possible function has only recently been suggested. Two independent studies have found that 7SK RNA binds the CDK9/cyclin T complex (known as elongation factor P-TEFb). Lineage: Eukaryota; Metazoa; Chordata; Mammalia; Rodentia; Castoridae. The record is from RNAcentral.
ACAUGUGAGGAUGAGCUGGCUGCAACAUCUGUCUCCCACUGAUCACCAGGGUUAAUCUGGCUGAUCUGGCUUGCUAGAUGGGUGUCCCCUUCUUCCCUUUCCCCUCUAUGUGUGUCCCUCCAAAAGCUGUGUGCUCUGUGGAAGAGGACAACUUUCCCCGUUUCUAUGAACCAGCCUUUGGUCAAGGGUGUAUGAGUAGCUGCACUCCCCUACUAGAACCUCCAAACAAGCUCUCAAGGAGGAGACAUUUGAGUUGAGAUCCAAACAAUGAGAGGGCUAGAAGGCAGCUCAGUGAUGGAGCGCUUGCGU